RNAcentral lists this ribosomal RNA (480 nucleotides) under uncultured bacterium. RNAcentral describes it as "bacterial SSU rRNA". It matches the Rfam family "Bacterial small subunit ribosomal RNA", at positions 327 to 805 of the family's 1533-position model. The record is from RNAcentral.
ACGACUACACUCCUACGGGAGGCAGCAGUGAGGAAUAUUGGUCAAUGGACGAGAGUCUGAACCAGCCAAGUAGCGUGCAGGAUGACGGCCCUAUGGGUUGUAAACUGCUUUUAUAAGGGAAUAAAGUGAGUCUCGUGAGACUUUUUGCAUGUACCUUAUGAAUAAGGACCGGCUAACUCCGUGCCAGCAGCCGCGGUAAUACGGAGGAUCCGAGCGUUAUCCGGAUUUAUUGGGUUUAAAGGGAGCGUAGGUGGAUUGUUAAGUCAGUUGUGAAAGUUUGCGGCUCAACCGUAAAAUUGCAGUUGAUACUGGCAGUCUUGAGUACAGUAGAGGUGGGCGGAAUUCGUGGUGUAGCGGUGAAAUGCUUAGAUAUCACGAAGAACUCCGAUUGCGAAGGCAGCUCACUGGACUGCAACUGACACUGAUGCUCGAAAGUGUGGGUAUCAAACAGGAUUAGAAACCCCUGUAGUCCACCAAUCC